UCUAGUGUAGCACAACGGUAGUGCAGCAGACUGUUAAUCUGUUGGUUGUUGGUUCGAAUCCAGCCUCUAGAGCCU
RNAcentral lists this transfer RNA (75 nucleotides) under Acinetobacter phage YMC13/03/R2096. RNAcentral describes it as "tRNA-Asn". It matches the Rfam family "tRNA". Rfam says of the family: Transfer RNA (tRNA) molecules are approximately 80 nucleotides in length. Their secondary structure includes four short double-helical elements and three loops (D, anti-codon, and T loops). Further hydrogen bonds mediate the characteristic L-shaped molecular structure. tRNAs have two regions of fundamental functional importance: the anti-codon, which is responsible for specific mRNA codon recognition, and the 3' end, to which the tRNAs corresponding amino acid is attached (by aminoacyl-tRNA synthetases). tRNAs cope with the degeneracy of the genetic code in two manners: having more than one tRNA (with a specific anti-codon) for a particular amino acid; and 'wobble' base-pairing, i.e. permitting non-standard base-pairing at the 3rd anti-codon position. Lineage: Duplodnaviria; Heunggongvirae; Uroviricota; Caudoviricetes. The record is from RNAcentral.